This 75-nucleotide transfer RNA is filed under the name Candidatus Accumulibacter phosphatis. Its description in RNAcentral is "tRNA-Val". It matches the Rfam family "tRNA". Rfam says of the family: Transfer RNA (tRNA) molecules are approximately 80 nucleotides in length. RNAcentral also lists the same sequence under 8 other names. Lineage: Bacteria; Pseudomonadati; Pseudomonadota; Betaproteobacteria. The record is from RNAcentral.
GGGCGAUUAACUCAGUGGUAGAGUGCCACCUUCACACGGUGGAAGUCAGUGGUUCGAACCCACUAUCGCCCACCA